AGUGAACGCUGGCGGUAGGCCUAACACAUGCAAGUCGAACGGCAGCACAGGAGAGCUUGCUCUCUGGGUGGCGAGUGGCGGACGGGUGAGGAAUACAUCGGAAUCUACUCUGUCGUGGGGGAUAACGUAGGGAAACUUACGCUAAUACCGCAUACGACCUACGGGUGAAAGCAGGGGACCUUAGGGCCUUGCGCGAUUGAAUGAGCCGAUGUCGGAUUAGCUAGUUGGCGGGGUAAAGGCCCACCAAGGCGACGAUCCGUAGCUGGUCUGAGAGGAUGAUCAGCCACACUGGAACUGAGACACGGUCCAGACUCCUACGGUAGGCAGCAGUGGGGAAUAUUGGACAAUGGGCGCAAGCCUGAUCCAGCCAUACCGCGUGGGUGAAGAAGGCCUUCGGGUUGUAAAGCCCUUUUGUUGGGAAAGAAAUCCAGCUGGCUAAUACCCGGUUGGGAUGACGGUACCCAAAGAAUAAGCACCGGCUAACUUCGUGCCAGCCGCCGCAGUAA
Molecule: ribosomal RNA, 506 nt
Filed under: uncultured bacterium
Lineage: Bacteria
Description: partial 16S ribosomal RNA
Rfam family: Bacterial small subunit ribosomal RNA
Source: RNAcentral